Molecule: ribosomal RNA, 213 nt
Filed under: Vibrio parahaemolyticus
Lineage: Bacteria; Pseudomonadati; Pseudomonadota; Gammaproteobacteria; Vibrionales; Vibrionaceae
Description: partial 16S ribosomal RNA
Rfam family: Bacterial small subunit ribosomal RNA
Source: RNAcentral
GUGGGGGAUAACCAUUGGAAACGAUGGCUAAUACCGCAUGAUGCCUACGGGCCAAAGAGGGGGACCUUCGGGCCUCUCGCGUCAGGAUAUGCCUAGGUGGGAUUAGCUAGUUGGUGAGGUAAGGGCUCACCAAGGCGACGAUCCCUAGCUGGUCUGAGAGGAUGAUCAGCCACACUGGAACUGAGACACGGUCCAGACUCCUACGGGAGGCAG